GCGGGAAUAGCUCAGUUGGUAGAGCACAACCUUGCCAAGGUUGGGGUCGCGACUUCGAGUCUCGUUUCCCGCUCCA
Molecule: transfer RNA, 76 nt
Filed under: Proteus mirabilis
Lineage: Bacteria; Pseudomonadati; Pseudomonadota; Gammaproteobacteria; Enterobacterales; Morganellaceae
Also listed under: 1 other name
Description: tRNA-Gly
Rfam family: tRNA
About the family: Transfer RNA (tRNA) molecules are approximately 80 nucleotides in length. Their secondary structure includes four short double-helical elements and three loops (D, anti-codon, and T loops). Further hydrogen bonds mediate the characteristic L-shaped molecular structure. tRNAs have two regions of fundamental functional importance: the anti-codon, which is responsible for specific mRNA codon recognition, and the 3' end, to which the tRNAs corresponding amino acid is attached (by aminoacyl-tRNA synthetases). tRNAs cope with the degeneracy of the genetic code in two manners: having more than one tRNA (with a specific anti-codon) for a particular amino acid; and 'wobble' base-pairing, i.e. permitting non-standard base-pairing at the 3rd anti-codon position.
Source: RNAcentral